Molecule: ribosomal RNA, 504 nt
Filed under: uncultured bacterium
Lineage: Bacteria
Description: partial 16S ribosomal RNA
Rfam family: Bacterial small subunit ribosomal RNA
Source: RNAcentral
GAUGAACGCUAGCUACAGGCUUAACACAUGCAAGUCGAGGGGCAGCAUGACGAUAGCUUGCUAUUGUUGAUGGCGACCGGCGCACGGGUGAGUAACGCGUAUCCAACCUGCCCUUGUCCAUCGGAUAACCCGUCGAAAGGCGGCCUAACACGAUGUGCAGUUCUCCGCAGGCAUCUAACGAGAACGAAAUGUAAAGGAGAAGGAUGGGGAUGCGUCUGAUUAGCUUGUUGGCGGGGUAACGGCCCACCAAGGCGACGAUCAGUAGGGGUUCUGAGAGGAAGGUCCCCCACAUUGGAACUGAGACACGGUCCAAACUCCUACGGGAGGCAGCAGUGAGGAAUAUUGGUCAAUGGGCGAGAGCCUGAACCAGCCAAGUAGCGUGCAGGACGACGGCCCUAUGGGUUGUAAACUGCUUUUAUGCGGGGAUAAAGUGAGCCACGUGUGGCUUAUUGCAGGUACCGCAUGAAUAAGGACCGGCUAAUUCCGUGCCAGCAGCCGCAGUAA